This 300-nucleotide small RNA is filed under the name Arabidopsis thaliana (thale cress). RNAcentral's name for it is "ATSL055580". Lineage: Eukaryota; Viridiplantae; Streptophyta; Magnoliopsida; Brassicales; Brassicaceae. The record is from RNAcentral.
GUUCCAAACAACCUCUUAUAGAUAUCACACUAAACAUUACUAAAAGAGAUCAAUGCCCAUUAUAAAACAUCAAAAUAGAGAGAUACAUAUUUCACAGAACAUCACCGUAGAAAUUCAUUAAAUUUAAGAGUUUACUCGCUCGUAUCAUCCAAUACGGUUGGUUUUUCUCUUAAACGAUUCUUAAGCGUCGAGAGUCUUUUGAAGGCCGAAUAACCUUUGAUAAUAUAUUCCGUAAUGCAUACUUUAUUACGCUCAAAAUUCUUCAUUACAUUUGCAAUUUUAUUAUGUUGUGUUUCAUUU